This 523-nucleotide ribosomal RNA is filed under the name Clostridiales bacterium. RNAcentral describes it as "bacterial SSU rRNA". It matches the Rfam family "Bacterial small subunit ribosomal RNA", at positions 1 to 350 of the family's 1533-position model. The record is from RNAcentral. Lineage: Bacteria; Bacillati; Bacillota; Clostridia; Eubacteriales.
AUUAAACGAGAGUUUGAUCCUGGCUCAGGACGAACGCUGGCGGCGUGCCUAACACAUGCAAGUCGAACGAAGUUUAUUGCUUCACCAAAUGUUGAACGAAGUGCCCAAGCACAUUUGCCAAACGGCAAAGAGAUAAGUUUAACAAUUACAGGUGAAGGAAAAAGAAUUGUGUACGAAGCGUAAAUGCGCUUCACGCUAAUUCCAAGUGUCAACCCUUUUAGUUAUUGAAGUAAUUCUAUUCAAUAUUUGGUGAAGUGAUAAACUUAGUGGCGGACGGGUGAGUAACGCGUGAACAAUCUGCCCUGUACAAAGGAAUAGCCUCGGGAAACCGGGAUUAAAACCAUAUGAUACUUUGAUGCCGCAUGGCAAUGAAGUCAAAUCGAUUAAGAGGUAUGGGAUGAGUUCGCGUCUGAUUAGCUAGUUGGUGGGGUAAAAGCUCACCAAGGCGACGAUCAGUAGCCGGCCUGAGAGGGAGACCGGCCACAUUGGGACUGAGACACGGCCCAAACUCCUACGGGAGGCA